Larimichthys crocea (large yellow croaker) is the source of this 2807-nucleotide long non-coding RNA. RefSeq lists it as uncharacterized. The record is from RefSeq and is a predicted model, not a curated record. The transcript has 3 exons. NCBI's taxonomy places the organism in Eukaryota, Metazoa, Chordata, Actinopteri, Sciaenidae.
UUUAAAAUUGCAUAUUUUAUUCACUUAUGUUGUGCAAGAGGCGUCCACACAGGAGUCACUUUAGGACAAGGGCAGUCCAGGUCCAGUUUGCUCCAGUUCUGUGACUCAUUUUAAUCAUUUGGAACGGCUGCCAGAAAAAGAAAGAGAGAGAGAGAGACUAAAGGCUUCUCUCAUUUCAUCUAAGUGAGUCAGUUUUUGGCAGCCGGACUCUUUUCCCUCCAAAUAAGCGGAGCUGCAGCAGUGAGUGCGUCGGUCUUCGUCACUGUGAGCUGAGCAGACAGAGAGGAAUGUGUGACACACGUGAGCGCAAUCGACUUCUGACUGGUUCACCCUCUGCUCGACAUGUGCUCGGCUUCUUUUCGCAGCAUAUUGGGGAGUCCGGCGGUGUGUAAUGUGGAUGGUUUACGAGUGGAUCCUCCUAAAUGUUCCACGCUGGACCUGUAAAAUACCCAACACCCACACACCAGCCAACUGUAAUGCUUAGUAAGUAAGUGACUCCAUUGUUCCAGGUUGGUCAGUCAGCUUCUCCACCACCACCAACCCUCAGGUCCUGCCCUGGACUGCCUUGCAUUUGACAUUUCAUUACGGACACACACAACAAUAAGUGAUAUUGUUCUCGUGUGCAGUCAGAGCCUGAUCGAGCCGGUUACUCCGUCUCAUGCCAUGUUUGCUGCUGCUGCUGUUGAUGCAGAAGAACUUGCUGGAUCAAACUAGCUGUGUCCGGCUGACCACACACACAGAGGAACCACUGUGACACGAUGACUUUCUCUCUCUGAUGUGUCACUUCCCGUAAAAGCCUGCAAAGGUCACACGUUUCUCCACUGAGGGUUUCACUCCAGCGGCUCUCUUCCCAGUUCCCAUCCUCUUCUGCUUAGCUGUUGUCCUUUUUCCUGUCGUUUGUUAUCUGUUGUGCCUGUACGUGCUAAUUGUCUGUCAGCAAGAUAGCCCACAUUUCCACUCAUUGUGCUCAGAUUGUGGUAUUUAUAGCGUGUAUCCUCACCACCGAGGUCAGAAAGCGCUCUUUCUCUCCUGGCAAACUCAUCGCAGCGGCGAGGCGAUCCGUCCUGAUUUACUUUGAACUGACGUAAACAUGACUGACCUAAACUGAGAUUAGAAAAUGAAUCAUAGUGACUAAGGUAGCUGGAAAAAGGUCUAAUGAACGUAUGAAAGAUUCUGCUUCCCCCUGUAUAUAGGGAUGAGAGCGGAGCUGUAGCUGAUGCUGACGAUUAUAAAGAUGAUAUUGAUGAUGAUGGUGUUGGCAGACAUGCGGAUGAAUGUGGAGGCCACAAUAAAUAGCCAUGAGAGGGUGACGGGAGGGCAGCUAUCUGUCCCUCAUAUAUAUAUUAAGUUGUCACAGCAAAUGCGACUGGUGGGUGAUAAGCAAAAAAACUGGUCUCAGCCUGCUGGAGUGAGCAAUGCAGGCCAGAGAGAGACAGAGUGUGAGAGAGAGGGAGAGGGAGUUUGUAACCGACUCUACUCGUUGCACACAGAUAGCUGGCAACUCUGAAAUACUUUAUCAAGGUUCUCCUCGUAAUCUGUUUCACUGCAUGCACACACAUACACACACACAGAUAGGUGUGAUGGUGGUGGUGGUGACAGCACAGUUUGCAGACUCUAGUCUUGACCUAUCACUGCUUACAAUGGGCAAACUUAAAAUACACACUAGCUUUGAUCCUGUAAAUUCAUACAAAGGCACACUUGGGAUAAAGAAGGUCGCCAGAUAUCUAGAUAUCUCAUCUGUUUCCAGCAAAACAACUCAUCUGUCCAAACGUGAUGACUAUUUCAGGCUGCUGGGGAUGAAAGUAAUAUAUGGCAACCAGCAGGCUACAGCGUCCAGUGUCAACUUUCAAGCACAAGAACGCAUACAUAUAGUACCGAUACUACAAUACAGUGAUGCCCUGAUACAUUUCAGGUGCCCAUCGAGAAAAACAAAACAAGUAAAUGGACAUUUAUUAAAAGCCCACACGGAUAAAAACCAGCCAACAACAACAUGCCAUAAACAGAACACUCAGUUUCUUGCCAAGCAGACAGCAUAGCGAGAACAAGUGUCAUUUGCAGACGAUACGUCUGCUCCCCCUUUGGCUACACACAACCCCAGCUUUUACGCCCCUUGUUCAGCCAUGUUGGCAAGGCCGCCGCGGACAGUGUUUCCUUUCACUUUGCAGAAUCACAUUUCAUAGAGCAGCCGCACGGCUUGCAGCUACAACACACUGCGGCUACUGUAAUGUGGCAGAGAGAGAGAGAGAGAAAAAAAAAAACGAAGGACAUCAGAGAAGCAGCUUGAAGCUGACCAAAGAGAAAGUCUGCCUUUGUGUGUGCGUUUUUUCUUUUUGCUCUCCACAGUUGAAUUCAUCAUUCAGGGUUGCUCUGCUACACCCCCGCUGUCAACUUCAGUCUAUAAACUUGCUCAUUUCAAUGAGCAUGCCGUAUCGAUCUAUGAUGUCUAUUUCUAUGGCUCAAGACAUCCUGUUUGCUCCGGUGCUCCUGGCUACACCUCCACAGGCUCUCUCUUUUAAUCUGCCUGACCUUUUGGAGUCAGUGGUCGGAAAGAGUCAAAAGGUCACAUCAUCGGACCUGAGUGUCAGCAGCUUCAAAUAAAAUCUGAGAGAACCUCGGACCGCACAGAAAAUUGUAUCUCAUGUUUUGUAAUGAAGUUAUAGCCACUUAAGUUCAUUUAUGUUCAUUUAUGUUAAUGUGUUUCUGCAAACAUGAAGUGGAGAAUCAGAUAAUGUUGUCAGUAUUACUUCAUAAUAGUUUGAAUCUCAAGAAAUUUGUGUUUUAUAAAGAACUUCCUGAACUCAUCUUUU